RNAcentral lists this ribosomal RNA (293 nucleotides) under uncultured Acinetobacter sp. RNAcentral's name for it is "partial 16S ribosomal RNA". It matches the Rfam family "Bacterial small subunit ribosomal RNA", at positions 775 to 1067 of the family's 1533-position model. Lineage: Bacteria; Pseudomonadati; Pseudomonadota; Gammaproteobacteria; Moraxellales; Moraxellaceae. The record is from RNAcentral.
UUAUUAAAAACCCUGGUAGUCCAUGCCGUAAACGAUGUCUACUAGCCGUUGGUGCCUUUGAGGCUUUAGUGGCGCAGCUAACGCGAUAAGUAGACCGCCUGGGGAGUACGGUCGCAAGACUAAAACUCAAAUGAAUUGACGGGGGCCCGCACAAGCGGUGGAGCAUGUGGUUUAAUUCGAUGCAACGCGAAGAACCUUACCUGGUCUUGACAUACUAAGAACUUUCCAGAGAUGGAUUGGUGCCUUCGGGAACUUACAUACAGGUGCUGCAUGGCUGUCGUCAGCUCGUGUCG